ACCGUGAAAUUGCAGUUGAUACUGUAUGUCUUGAGUGUACAAGAGGUGGGCGGAAUUCGUGGUGUAGCGGUGAAAUGCUUAGAUAUCACGAAGAACUCCAAUUGCGAAGGCAGCUCACUGGGGUACAACUGACACUGAGGCUCGAAAGUGUGGGUAUCAAACAGGAUUAGAUACCCUGGUAGUCCACACAGUAAACGAUGAAUACUCGCUGUUUGCGAUAUACAGUAAGCGGCCAAGCGAAAGCAUUAAGUAUUCCACCUGGGGAGUACGCCGGCAACGGUGAAACUCAAAGGAAUUGACGGGGGCCCGCACAAGCGGAGGAACAUGUGGUUUAAUUCGAUGAUACGCGAGGAACCUUACCCGGGCUUGAAUUGCAGAGGAAUAUAGUUGAAAGAUUAUCGCCGCAAGGUCUCUGUGAAGGUGCUGCAUGGUUGUCGUCAGCUCGUGCCGUGAGGUGUCGGCUUAAGUGCCAUAACGAGCGCAACCCUUAUCAUUAGUUACUAACAGGUCAUGCUGAGGACUCUAGUGAGACUGCCGUCGUAAGAUGUGAGGAAGGUGGGGAUGACGUCAAAUCAGCACGGCCCUUACGUCCGGGGCUACACACGUGUUACAAUGGGGGGUACAGAGGGCAGCUACCGGGCGACCGGAUGCCAAUCCCAAAAACCUCUCUCAGUUCGGAUCGAAGUCUGCAACCCGACUUCGUGAAGCUGGAUUCGCUAGUAAUCGCGCAUCAGCCACGGCGCGGUGAAUACGUUCCCGGGCCUUGUACACACCGCCCGUCAAGCCAUGGGAGCCGGGGGUACCUGAAGUACGUAACCGCAAGGAGCGUCCUAGGGUAAAACUGGUGACUGGGGCUAAGUCGUAACAAGGUAACCG
RNAcentral lists this ribosomal RNA (876 nucleotides) under uncultured bacterium. RNAcentral describes it as "bacterial SSU rRNA". It matches the Rfam family "Bacterial small subunit ribosomal RNA", at positions 612 to 1502 of the family's 1533-position model. The record is from RNAcentral.